CCCCUCUCCAGUCCUAUGUAAGCCCUACAUUACCCCUUCUCUGCUGACAUGGAAGGCAGAAAUGACAAAGUGCAGAAGGAGAGGUAUGAGCAGUGGGUGUUCCUGAGUCCAACAAGCCCUACGGAGCUGUGCAUUGCCAAACGCUUGCCCUCUCUCUGCUGGAUUCUUGACUAACUUCUGCACAGGAGUGACUGAGGAGCCUCCAUACCAAGGUGCACACUCACAACAGAUCACUGCAUGGUUGCAGUUGCAAAUGAUUCCUACGGAAGAAUUGCACCACCUCACCAUUUGCUAAGCAGUCCAUCACAGUGGUAUGAAAGGAGACUGUUGCAGGU
This is a long non-coding RNA of Lagopus muta (rock ptarmigan), 335 nucleotides long. RefSeq lists it as uncharacterized. The record is from RefSeq and is a predicted model, not a curated record. Lineage: Eukaryota; Metazoa; Chordata; Aves; Galliformes; Phasianidae. The transcript is spliced from 3 exons.